Molecule: ribosomal RNA, 497 nt
Filed under: uncultured bacterium
Lineage: Bacteria
Description: partial 16S ribosomal RNA
Rfam family: Bacterial small subunit ribosomal RNA
Source: RNAcentral
GAUGAACGCUGGCGGCGUGCCUAAUACAUGCAAGUCGAGCGAACGGACGAGAAGCUUGCUUCUCUGAUGUUAGCGGCGGACGGGUGAGUAACACGUGGAUAACCUACCUAUAAGACUGGGAUAACUUCGGGAAACCGGAGCUAAUACCGGAUAAUAUUUUGAACCGCAUGGUUCAAAAGUGAAAGACGGUCUUGCUGUCACUUAUAGAUGGAUCCGCGCUGCAUUAGCUAGUUGGUAAGGUAACGGCUUACCAAGGCAACGAUGCAUAGCCGACCUGAGAGGGUGAUCGGCCACACUGGAACUGAGACACGGUCAAGACUCCUACGGGAGGCAGCAGUAGGGAAUCUUCCGCAAUGGGCGAAAGCCUGACGGAGCAACGCCGAGUGAGUGAUGAAGGUCUUCGGAUCGUAAAACUCUGUUAUUAGGGAAGAACAUAUGUGUAAGUAACUGUGCACAUCUUGACGGUAACUAAUCAGAAAGCCACGGCUAACUACGUG